UGGGGAAUAUUGGACAAUGGGCGAAAGCCUGAUCCAGCCAUGCCGCGUGUGUGAAGAAGGCCUUUUGGUUGUAAAGCACUUUAAGUGGGGAGGAAAAGCUUGUGGUUAAUACCCAUAAGCCCUGACAUUACCCACAGAAUAAGCACCGGCUAACUCUGUGCCAGCAGCCGCGGUAAUACAGAGGGUGCAAGCGUUAAUCGGAAUUACUGGGCGUAAAGCGCGCGUAGGUGGUUAUUUAAGUCAGAUGUGAAAGCCCCGGGCUUAACCUGGGAACUGCAUCUGAUACUGGAUAACUAGAGUAGGUGAGAGGGGAGUAGAAUUCCAGGUGUAGCGGUGAAAUGCGUAGAGAUCUGGAGGAAUACCGAUGGCGAAGGCAGCUCCCUGGCAUCAUACUGACACUGAGGUGCGAAAGCGUGGGUAGCAAACAGGAUUAGAUACCCUGGUAGUCCACGCCGUAAACGAUGUCUACCAGUCGUUGGGUCUUUUAAAGACUUAGUGACGCAGUUAACGCAAUAAGUAGACCGCCUGGGGAGUACGGCCGCAAGGUUA
This 549-nucleotide ribosomal RNA is filed under the name uncultured bacterium. RNAcentral's name for it is "bacterial SSU rRNA". It matches the Rfam family "Bacterial small subunit ribosomal RNA", at positions 355 to 896 of the family's 1533-position model. The record is from RNAcentral.